CCUACGGGCGACAGCAGUGGGGAAUAUUGGGCAAUGGGCGCAAGCCUGACCCAGCAACGCCGCGUGAAGGAAGAAGGCUUUCGGGUUGUAAACUUCUUUUCUCAGGGACGAAGCAAGUGACGGUACCUGAGGAAUAAGCCACGGCUAACUACGUGCCAGCAGCCGCGGGAAUACGUAGGUGGCAAGCGUUAUCCGGAUUUACUGGGUGUAAAGGGCGUGUAGGCGGGGCUGCAAGUCAGAUGUGAAAACCAUGGGCUCAACCUAUGGCCUGCAUUUGAAACUGGAGUUCUUGAGUACUGGAGAGGCAGACGGAAUUCCUAGUGUAGCGGUGAAAUGCGUAGAUAUUAGGAGGAACACCAGUGGCGAAGGCGGUCUGCUGGACAGCAACUGACGCUGAGGCGCGAAAGCGUGGGGAGCAAACAGGAUUAGAUACCCGGGUAGUC
RNAcentral lists this ribosomal RNA (443 nucleotides) under uncultured bacterium. RNAcentral describes it as "partial 16S ribosomal RNA". It matches the Rfam family "Bacterial small subunit ribosomal RNA", at positions 338 to 795 of the family's 1533-position model. The record is from RNAcentral.